RNAcentral lists this ribosomal RNA (441 nucleotides) under uncultured bacterium. RNAcentral describes it as "partial 16S ribosomal RNA". It matches the Rfam family "Bacterial small subunit ribosomal RNA", at positions 338 to 795 of the family's 1533-position model. The record is from RNAcentral.
CCUACGGGAGGCAGCAGUGGGGGAUAUUGCACAAUGGGGGGAACCCUGAUGCAGCGACGCCGCGUGUGGGAAGACGGUCCUCUGGAUUGUAAACCACUGUCCCCAGGGACGAAAAUGACGGUACCUGGGGAGGAAGCUCCGGCUAACUACGUGCCAGCAGCCGCGGUAAUACGUAGGUGGCAAGCGUUGUCCGGAUUUACUGGGUGUAAAGGGCGUGCAGCCGGGAAGACAAGUCAGAUGUGAAAUCCCGCGGCUCAACCGCGGAACUGCAUUUGAAACUGUUUUUCUUGAGUACCGGAGAGGUCAUCGGAAUUCCUUGUGUAGCGGUGAAAUGCGUAGAUAUAAGGAAGAACACCAGUGGCGAAGGCGGAUGACUGGACGGCAACUGACGGUGAGGCGCGAAAGCGUGGGGAGCAAACAGGAUUAGAUACCCGUGUAGUC